This 119-nucleotide ribosomal RNA is filed under the name Pteropus alecto (black flying fox). The record is from RNAcentral. Lineage: Eukaryota; Metazoa; Chordata; Mammalia; Chiroptera; Pteropodidae.
AUCUAUGGCCAUGCUACUGUGAACGAGCCUGAUCCCGUCUGAUCUCAGAAGCUAAGCAGGGUCGGGCUUGAUUAGUACUUGGAUGGGAGACCACCUAGGAAGACUAGGUGCUAUAGGCC